UACGAAGGGUGCUAGCGUUGUUCGGAUUUACUGGGCGUAAAGCGUGCGUAGGUGGCUUUACAAGUCAGGGGUGAAAUCCUGGGGCUCAACCCCAGAAUUGCCUUUGAAACUGUAAAGCUAGGGUAUCGGAGGGGAUAGCGGAAUUGCUAAUGUAGAGGUGAAAUUCGUAGAUAUUAGCAGGAACACCGGUGGCGAAGGCGGCUAUCUGGACGAUUACUGACACUCUGGCACGAAAGCGCGGGGAUCAAACAGG
RNAcentral lists this ribosomal RNA (253 nucleotides) under uncultured prokaryote. Its description in RNAcentral is "partial 16S ribosomal RNA". It matches the Rfam family "Bacterial small subunit ribosomal RNA", at positions 524 to 776 of the family's 1533-position model. The record is from RNAcentral.